This 198-nucleotide ribosomal RNA is filed under the name Nitrospina sp. Its description in RNAcentral is "partial 16S ribosomal RNA". It matches the Rfam family "Bacterial small subunit ribosomal RNA", at positions 1 to 196 of the family's 1533-position model. The record is from RNAcentral. Lineage: Bacteria; Pseudomonadati; Nitrospinota; Nitrospinia; Nitrospinales; Nitrospinaceae.
CAACUGGAGAGUUUGAUCCUGGCUCAGAACGAACGCUGGUGGCGUGCUUAACACAUGCAAGUCGAACGAGAACGUUUCCUUCGGGAAAUUAGUAAAGUGGCGCAAGGGUGAGUAACACGUGAAUAAUCUGCCCUCGAGAUCGGGAUAACAUGGUGAAAACUAUGCUAAUACCGGAUAAGACCACAUUUCGCAAGAAAU